Molecule: non-coding RNA, 100 nt
Organism: Saccoglossus kowalevskii
Lineage: Eukaryota; Metazoa; Hemichordata; Enteropneusta; Harrimaniidae
Source: RefSeq, marked provisional
GUUUCUCUGUGGUGUUGAUAAGGGGACAGGGAUGGGUGUGGGGGUUAUAACAGUCGCACCUCACACCUUAACCUGUCAACUAUAUCAGCAUUUACAUAUA